This 274-nucleotide ribosomal RNA is filed under the name uncultured bacterium. Its description in RNAcentral is "partial 16S ribosomal RNA". It matches the Rfam family "Bacterial small subunit ribosomal RNA", at positions 523 to 796 of the family's 1533-position model. The record is from RNAcentral.
CUACGGAGGGUGCAAGCGUUAUUCGGAAUCACUAGGCGUAAAGGACGCGGAGGCGGGUUGGCAAGUCAGAUGUGAAAUCCUACAGCUUAACUGUAGAACUGCAUUUGAAACUGCUAACCUAGAGUAUGGGAGGGGGAGAUGGAAUUAGUGGUGUAGGGGUAAAAUCCGUAGAUAUCACUAGGAAUACCGAAAGCGAAGGCGAUCUCCUGGAACAUAACUGACGCUAAGGCGUGAAAGCGUGGGGAGCGAACAGGAUUAGAAACCCCAGUAGUCC